ACAGUUAAUUAAAGCCAACCUCAAAAACAAGAUUGACCCCACAAGAAUCAAUGAACAAUCAUUCAUUAGCCUGGUUUAAUUUCGUCCAUAUUGGUAUUAUAUCAGAUUCUGUGUGACUGAGCCAUUCAAAGCAAUCCAGAUUCAACUCGGUAACCUUUUAAUUUACAAAUUGAAGUUCUACCUCUACUUGGCAUUACUGGAUAUUGAUGAAAUUUCUGUGAUUUCCCUGUCAAAAUAAGUAGCCUGAAUCACAAACCAUUCAGCACCUACAAGGUCAGCUAGACGUUCUGGUUUUUUUGCAAGCGUGAAAUUGCCAUUUUCUGGUGCAAGGCAAGAGGUAUUAGUCCAUCAUAAAACAGAUAUCAUGAACUUAAUGUAUUGAACCUUGAAUUUAGCCAAUGGUCAAUCGGAUUGAAGCAGGCAACUUGACUGGACACCUAAAAAAUCCUUCAGAUCAGGAUUGUUACCGCCAUUACAACCACUAUUACAACUAUUAUUCAGAAGCUGUUGCUGCUGCUGAUCAAGACGAUGAUGAUGUUGAUGGUGAAAACUGGUUUAUGGGUGAAUCAAGAUGGAAACAAGAAUCAAAGUAUUGAUAGGAACAGGACGUAAAAAAAAGUAAAGGAAAAAGAGAUCAUCAUCUUGAUGUAAAAAUGGCUUAACGAGGUUGACCAAAUUAAGACGAGAUUAUCAUUUGAUCGUUUACCAAUCAUGCUUAAUUUAUUCAAUGGCAAUAAACAGCAAGCAAACAAAUGUUGGUCCAACACUGUGAACUCAAUCUUUGCAAGGAUGUACAAGGUGAAAGGUUGAAAUGGCAGACUUGAGAUAAUCUAAAGAAAUGAAAGCUCAAACAGUAAAGAUGUUUCCUUCAUGUCAAGAAUCAAUGUUAAUCGUCUUAUUGGAGAGAACUGCAAAUGCUGGCCAAAAACAAAAAAGAUGCUCUACUAAUCAACUGAUUGUGAAUGAUAUUGUUUAAGUAUUAUAUCUUAUUGGAUUGACAGCAACAGUUUAAUUGAGAUUGUCGAGUAGAACAACAAAAAGCUGAUUACUUAAAGGUCAAUAUAUCGAGCAAUGAACAUCUUUCCUUACAAUUUUACUUAUUUCAUUGGUGCAUUAUUGAACAACCAGAUUAUCGUCUGGAUGUUGACAUUUGUUCAGGUUUAUUGUUGCAAUGAACCCGAUGUUGAUUAGCUGAUUCAAUCAUUUACCAUGUUUAACAAUAUUUAUUGACAUUACGUUGACUGUUGAUGUUAAUUAAACUGUAUUGUUACACGCAAAUGUACAUUUUUAUUACAGAAAUGUUUAUUAACUGAUUGCUGUUUAAAGUUUGUUUGUUUCUUUCAUUCGUUUAAAUAUUGAUAUCAAUUGUAUGAAUGAUUAUCAUCUUGUUAAUUGUAAUUAUAAAUCACUUUUUUUCUUCUUGUUUAGUCUUUAAACAGACUUAAGCACAUCUCUACUUGUUACUUGAUUAACUCCAAGGUUAAUUUUUAAUAAACUAAUCAUUUAUACCGA
This is a non-coding RNA of Tetranychus urticae (two-spotted spider mite), 1512 nucleotides long. Lineage: Eukaryota; Metazoa; Arthropoda; Arachnida; Trombidiformes; Tetranychidae. The record is from RefSeq and is a predicted model, not a curated record.